This 429-nucleotide ribosomal RNA is filed under the name Bacteroidota bacterium. Its description in RNAcentral is "Bacteroidetes bacterium partial 16S ribosomal RNA". It matches the Rfam family "Bacterial small subunit ribosomal RNA", at positions 355 to 776 of the family's 1533-position model. Lineage: Bacteria; Pseudomonadati; Bacteroidota. The record is from RNAcentral.
UAGGGAAUCUUCGGCAAUGGGGGGAACCCUGACCGAGCAACGCCGCGUGAGUGAAGAAGGUUUUCGGAUCGUAAAGCUCUGUUGUUAAGGAAGAACGAGUGUGAGAAUGGAAAGUUCAUGCUGUGACGGUACUUAACCAGAAAGGGACGGCUAACUACGUGCCAGCAGCCGCGGUAAUACGUAGGUCCCGAGCGUUGUCCGGAUUUAUUGGGCGUAAAGCGAGCGCAGGCGGUUAGAAAAGUCUGAAGUGAAAGGCGGUGGCUCAACCAUUGUAGGCUUUGGAAACUGUUUGACUUGAGUGCAGACGGGGAGGGUGGAAUUCCAGGUGUAGCGGUGAAAUUCGUAGAUAUAUGGAGGAACACCGGUGGCGAAAGCGGCUCUCGGGUCUGUAACUGACGCUGAGGCUCGAAAGCGUGGGGGGCGAACAGG